AUUGAACGCUGGCGGCAUGCUUUACACAUGCAAGUCGAACGGCAGCGCGGGCUUCGGCCUGGCGGCGAGUGGCGAACGGGUGAGUAAUGCAUCGGAACGUGCCCAGUAGUGGGGGAUAGCCCGGCGAAAGCCGGAUUAAUACCGCAUACGACCUGAGGGUGAAAGCGGGGGACCGAAAGGCCUCGCGCUAUUGGAGCGGCCGAUGUCGGAUUAGCCAGUUGGUGGGGGAAAGGCUUACCAAGGCGACGAUCCGUAGCUGGUCUGAGAGGACGACCAGCCACACUGGGAAUGAGACAACGGCCCGACUCCUACGGGAGGGCGGAGGUGGGAAUUUUGGACAAUGGGGGCAAACCUGAUCCAGGCAUGCCGGGUGGGGGAAGAAGGCCUUCGGGUUGUAAACCCGUUUUGUUUGGGAAGAAAACCUUUUGGGUAAUACCCCGGGGGGAUGACGGUACCGGAAGAAUAAGCACCGGCUAACUACGUG
RNAcentral lists this ribosomal RNA (484 nucleotides) under uncultured bacterium. Its description in RNAcentral is "partial 16S ribosomal RNA". It matches the Rfam family "Bacterial small subunit ribosomal RNA", at positions 29 to 507 of the family's 1533-position model. The record is from RNAcentral.